GACGAACGCUGGCGGCGUGCUUAACACAUGCAAGUCGAACGGAAAGGCCCUGCUUUUGUGGGGUGCUCGAGUGGCGAACGGGUGAGUAACACGUGAGUAACCUGCCCUUGACUUUGGGAUAACUUCAGGAAACUGGGGCUAAUACCGGAUAGGAGCUCCUGCUGCAUGGUGGGGGUUGGAAAGUUUCGGCGGUUGGGGAUGGACUCGCGGCUUAUCAGCUUGUUGGUGGGGUAGUGGCUUACCAAGGCGUUGACGGGUAGCCGGCCUGAGAGGGUGACCGGCCAUAUUGGGACUGAGAUACGGCCCGGACUCCUACUGGAGGCAGCAGUGAGGAAUAUUGCACAAUGGGCGGAAGCCUGAUGCAGCAACGCCGCGUGCGGGAUCACGGCCUUCGGGUUGUAAACCGCUUUCGCCUGUGACGAAGCGUGAGUGACGGUAAUGGGUAAAGAAGCACCGGCUAACUACGUG
RNAcentral lists this ribosomal RNA (468 nucleotides) under uncultured bacterium. RNAcentral describes it as "partial 16S ribosomal RNA". It matches the Rfam family "Bacterial small subunit ribosomal RNA", at positions 28 to 507 of the family's 1533-position model. The record is from RNAcentral.